This 1273-nucleotide unclassified non-coding RNA is filed under the name Venturia canescens. RNAcentral's name for it is "nADPH-dependent aldo-keto reductase, chloroplastic- like, transcript variant X3". The record is from RNAcentral. Lineage: Eukaryota; Metazoa; Arthropoda; Insecta; Hymenoptera; Ichneumonidae.
UUGAAGAACGUCGAACAUGAUGUGAACGCAACCAGCCUCACCGCGUUCACUUCAAAUCGAACACGUUUUAGCGUUAUUACCGUUAUUAGCGUUAUUAACGCUAUUAACGCUGUCAGGCGUCCAAAGGUGCGUUCCACUUAUCGCCCGUAACGCCCAGACGACGGCUACUGGGAUAGGAUAUUGGGGCAUUUUGGGCGUUUUGGGCGAUAAGUGGAACACACCUCAAGUAGAAUGUACCCACACGGUCAAUAGUAUUGCGCAAUAUAGGUGAUUCCACAAUUUUAUUGACCGUGUGUAGCGGGCCUAACGACACGUUUCAUCAUUCGUCGCACUUCCAUGUAUUUAAAAAAUUUACGAACAAAAAAUGAAUCCGAAUCCUCAACAAUGUGUUAUGCUGUCGAGUAAUUAUAGUAUGCCAUUCAUUGGAAUUGGGACAUAUAAAAUUGUCGGGAGAGAAACAAUUCUCAACGUUCUUGAUGAAGCAUUGAAAGUUGGAUAUCGAUCUAUCGAUACAGCAGCAGUUUACAGAAACGAGGAAGAUAUUGGCAGAGCCUUGCAGUCAUUGUUGCCAAAGUACAAUCUUACCAGAGAAAAUAUUUUCAUAACAACAAAACUCUCUCCUAUCGAUCACGGUGAUUCCAGAAGAAUUGAAAAAGCAGUCCACAAUGCGUUGACCUCUCUAAAAGUUUCUUACAUCGAUCUGUUCCUAAUUCAUUGGCCCGGAAAGUCAGGAAUUUCUGAGAGUUCCAGCGCCAACAGAGAAUUCCGAAGCGAGACAUGGAAAACGUUGGUGAAAUUGAAAUCUCAAGGCCUGCUAAGAUCCAUUGGUGUCUCGAAUUAUAAUAUUAAGCAUCUUGGACAGCUUUUGGAAAAUUGUUAUGGUAUUAGACCGGCUGUGAAUCAAGUUGAAUGUCAUCCCCAUUACAAGCAAACCGAGCUCAUAAAAUUUUGCGAAGAAGAAGGAAUUCAUGUCCAAGCAUAUUCCUCUCUGGGUACCAGCAAUUACAAGUCCUUGCUUAAGGAUCCUAUAGUCUGUCGAGUUGCAAAUGAAUUGGCUGUUUCACCUGCCAGAGUACUAUUGAAGUGGGCUUUACAGCAAAACAUAGUUACAGUUCAAAAUUCACGAUGACCAGAUGAUUGCACUUUCAUCUUUAACACAAACCAAAUACGCAUGGGAUCCUGACAACGUUGCUUGAAAAUACUAGUACAUCCAGACUCCUUGCGGGGAUUGCUCAAUAAUACCAAUGAAUAUAACUGAGACUAGCCAUCAAAA